AGUCUUAUAGUCAAUUAUGAUUUUAAAUUGCAAAUUUAAAGGUAAAGCCCAUUUUAAGGCUU
Molecule: transfer RNA, 62 nt
Filed under: Anastrangalia sequensi
Lineage: Eukaryota; Metazoa; Arthropoda; Insecta; Coleoptera; Cerambycidae
Description: tRNA-Cys
Source: RNAcentral